UCAAUUGGUAAGGUNCUUGCCUAGCAUGCA
This 30-nucleotide non-coding RNA is filed under the name Rattus norvegicus (Norway rat). Lineage: Eukaryota; Metazoa; Chordata; Mammalia; Rodentia; Muridae. The record is from RNAcentral.